CAGGUGGUCCAGGCCGGCAGGGCUGCCCUGAGCCUGCGCUGGGGACAGGACUCACCGUCGCGGCCGCUGGGCCAGACACCCCCGAGGGCCACGCUGUAGCCAGCCCGCCCUCGGUGGAGCUGCACUGGCGCCCCGGGCACUCAGGUGGCGGGGGGAGGACAGAAAGCCAGGUUUCCUGUGAGCGGAGCGCCCUCGCCCAUCACCCGCUCCCCCUGCUGCUGAGGCCAGCUCACCUUGAGGAUCUUGAUCUCCUUCCCCAGGAGAGUCUGCGACUUGGCCAGGGAACACGGAUUCAAACCCUGGUCCCGGAAGAUCCCAUAUGCGUCAGAGCAACUAAGCCCAUGCACCACAAGUACUGAGCCUGCACUCUAGAGCCCACGAGCCACAACUACUGAAGCCCACGCGCCUAGAGCCCAUACUCCGCAACAAGAGAAGCCACCACAAUGAGAAACCUGCGCACCGCAACGAAGAGUAGCCCCCACUCGCCGCAACUAGAGAAAGGCCGCGCACAGCAACGAAGAUCCAGUGCAGCCAAAAAUAAAUAAAUUAAUUAAUUAAUUAAAAAAUAAAGAAAGUCACUGGAGA
This is a long non-coding RNA of Lagenorhynchus albirostris (white-beaked dolphin), 585 nucleotides long. RefSeq lists it as uncharacterized. The record is from RefSeq and is a predicted model, not a curated record. The transcript has 3 exons. NCBI's taxonomy places the organism in Eukaryota, Metazoa, Chordata, Mammalia, Artiodactyla, Delphinidae.